Molecule: ribosomal RNA, 504 nt
Filed under: uncultured bacterium
Lineage: Bacteria
Description: partial 16S ribosomal RNA
Rfam family: Bacterial small subunit ribosomal RNA
Source: RNAcentral
AUUGAACGCUGGCGGCAGGCCUAACACAUGCAAGUCGAACGGUAGCACAGAGAGCUUGCUCUCGGGUGACGAGUGGCGGACGGGUGAGUAAUGUCUGGGAAACCGCCCGAUGGAGGGGGAUAACUACUGGAAACGGUAGCUAAUACCGCAUAACGUCGCAAGACCAAAGUGGGGGACCUUCGGGCCUCACACCAUCGGAUGUGCCCAGAUGGGAUUAGCUAGUAGGUGGGGUAAUGGCUCACCUAGGCGACGAUCCCUAGCUGGUCUGAGAGGAUAACCAGCCACACUGGAACUGAGAGACGGUCCAGACUCCUACGGGAGGCAGCAGUGGGGAAUAUUGCACAAUGGGCGCAAGCCUGAUGCAGCCAUGCCGCGUGUAUGAAGAAGGCCUUCGGGUUGUAAAGUACUUUCAGCGGGGAGGAAGGCGGUGAAGUUAAUAACUUCACCGAUUGACGUUACCCGCAGAAGAAGCACCGGCUAACUCCGUGCCAGCAGCCGCAGUAA